AACGUCCCCCCAGCAUAGAAUCAUUUCUAUAGUAAACGUCCUCUUCUGAGAUCCUCUCACGAGCCUCAGACUCCAACCCGGACGAUGAGCCGAUCCUCGGUGCCCAAGAGUGAGGCCUUUUACUUUCGCACUGUCCGCAAGGAUGGCGGUUCCUUUCUUGUAAAGGGACUGUAUAGAGAGUGGCGAUGAUCUUGUCCCUUUUUGUGCUGGCUUCGGUCGCGUGAACUGGGUGGGUGCUGAUGGACGUCUGACGGGC
Glarea lozoyensis ATCC 20868 is the source of this 256-nucleotide small nucleolar RNA. It matches the Rfam family "Fungal small nucleolar RNA U3". Rfam says of the family: Small nucleolar RNAs (snoRNAs) are involved in the processing and modification of rRNA in the nucleolus. There are two main classes of snoRNAs: the box C/D class, and the box H/ACA class. U3 snoRNA is a member of the box C/D class. Lineage: Eukaryota; Fungi; Ascomycota; Leotiomycetes; Helotiales; Helotiaceae. The record is from Rfam.